This 505-nucleotide small RNA is filed under the name Histoplasma capsulatum. RNAcentral's name for it is "hypothetical RNA". Lineage: Eukaryota; Fungi; Ascomycota; Eurotiomycetes; Onygenales; Ajellomycetaceae. RNAcentral also lists the same sequence under 1 other name. The record is from RNAcentral.
ACCCGUCACCCGUCCUCUACCCGUUCUCACCUACAUAGUGAACGUAUCUCCGAGCAAACUCGAAGACCCAACGAACUCGAACAGUUUGUACCCCACACCAGGAUUUGUUAGCCGGGUACUGGUACUUUGAUAACAAAAAACCAUAGCAAACAAAAAAGGUAACUCCCACAUGAAUUUUGGUGGGGGGUAUAAAACUGUUUGUUCGUGUCGUUCGCCACUUUCUCGCUCGGACCACUUCCGCACUAGCGCGCCCACGGAAGAGAGCCGACCGGCCCAUUCCCCGACACACCAAACAGCUGUCUUCCAUGGACGACGUUAGCACGUGACACCUAACCUCCGUCCAGCUAUGUAUAUACAGUGAGGGAAGCGAACAGGACAGCAACUGGAGAAUAACUGGAAAUUAGACAUAGCAACCAUCAGGGCGAUUUAUUCAAUUAGCCAAAGAGGCAGAAAGGCUGGGCAGAGGAAGGGAUGUCCAACAUCAAACAGUCAAUCCCUACCCCCU